GCGGAGUUAGUUUAGCCUGGUAUAACGUCAGCUUCCCAAGUUGAAGGCCACGGGUUCAAAUCCCGUACUCCGCA
This 74-nucleotide transfer RNA is filed under the name Candidatus Nitrosopumilus sp. RNAcentral describes it as "Nitrosopumilus sp. tRNA-Gly". It matches the Rfam family "tRNA". Rfam says of the family: Transfer RNA (tRNA) molecules are approximately 80 nucleotides in length. Their secondary structure includes four short double-helical elements and three loops (D, anti-codon, and T loops). RNAcentral also lists the same sequence under 1 other name. The record is from RNAcentral. Lineage: Archaea; Thermoproteati; Nitrososphaerota; Nitrososphaeria; Nitrosopumilales; Nitrosopumilaceae.